GUUGCGGUUAAAAAGCUCGUAGUUGGAUUUCUGUUGAGGAUGACCGGUCCGCUCUUUGAGCGCGUAUCUGGUUCAGCCUUGGCAUCCUCUUGGGGAACGCUACUGUGCUUGAUUGCAUGGGGCGGUAUUCAAGACUUUUACUUUGAGGAAAUUAGAGUGUUCACUGCAAGCGUUAGCAAUUGAAUACAUUAGCAUGGAAUAAUAAUAUAAGACCUUGGUACUAUUUUGUUGGUUUCUAGAACUAAGGUAAUGAUUAAUAGGGACAAUUGGGGGCAUUCGUAUUAACGCGUCAGAGGUGGAAUUCUUAGAUUGCGUUACGACGAACUACUGCGAAAGCAUUUGCCAAGGAUGUUUUCAUUGAUCAAGAACGAAAGUAUGGGGAUCGAAGACGCUUAGAUACCGUCGUAGUCUAUACCAUAAACUAUGCCAACUAGAGAUUGGAGGUCGUUCUCUUUAUGACUCCUUCAGCACCUUAUGAGAAAUCAAAGUCUUUGGGUUCCGGGGGGAGUAUGGUCGCCAAGGCUGA
RNAcentral lists this ribosomal RNA (526 nucleotides) under uncultured marine eukaryote. Its description in RNAcentral is "SSU rRNA". It matches the Rfam family "Eukaryotic small subunit ribosomal RNA", at positions 612 to 1140 of the family's 1831-position model. The record is from RNAcentral.